ACCUACGGGACGCAGCAGUGGGGAAUAUUGGGCAAUGGGCGCAAGCCUGACCCAGCAACGCCGCGUGAAGGAAGAAGGCUUUCGGGUUGUAAACUUCUUUUCUGAGGGACGAUAGUGACGGUACCUCAGGAAUAAGCCACGGCUAACUACGUGCCAGCAGCCGCGGUAAUACGUAGGUGGCGAGCGUUAUCCGGAAUGAUUGGGCGUAAAGGGUGCGUAGGCGGUCGAUUAAGUCUGGAGUGAAAGGUACCGGCUCAACCGGUAUAGGCUCCGGAAACUGAUGGACUGGAGUACAGGAGAGGGUG
RNAcentral lists this ribosomal RNA (305 nucleotides) under uncultured bacterium. RNAcentral's name for it is "bacterial SSU rRNA". It matches the Rfam family "Bacterial small subunit ribosomal RNA", at positions 337 to 660 of the family's 1533-position model. The record is from RNAcentral.